UUAUAUUUGUAUCGUAUGUUGACUAUUUUGGUUGCUGAGAAUAAAAUAUUGAGUGCUUUGAAUUGAGCAAGAAAUAGUGUUUUGAUUGUAUAAGAAGAUUUGGACUAGCUAUGUGUAGAAUAUAUAGAAUAUUGCUGAAUAGGGGCUGAAUUAUGACACCUUAGGUUGCUAGUCAUGGGCCAAAUCAUGAUGCCUUGGUUUGCCAUCGUGGGCC
RNAcentral lists this long non-coding RNA (214 nucleotides) under Elaeis guineensis (African oil palm). Its description in RNAcentral is "long non-coding RNA (EGUI_LNC010292)". Lineage: Eukaryota; Viridiplantae; Streptophyta; Magnoliopsida; Arecales; Arecaceae. The record is from RNAcentral.